This 212-nucleotide unclassified non-coding RNA is filed under the name Hevea brasiliensis (rubber tree). Lineage: Eukaryota; Viridiplantae; Streptophyta; Magnoliopsida; Malpighiales; Euphorbiaceae. The record is from RNAcentral.
AAAACACGGAGACGUAUUUUCCAGGUAUGUGUGUGACUGUUUGACUGAUCCUAUAGAAGUACAUUGAAGAUAUUCCCUCUAAAUCUCCAAUUUUUGCUAUAUUAUAACUUGUCCCCAUCUUUUAGUGAUUAGUGAAUCUUUUAACUUUGCUUCUUUAUGUGACGUAGUAAUCUAAUAUCUGGUGAUUGUAGAUACACACAUCAAGGAUGACA